This is a long non-coding RNA of Oncorhynchus keta (chum salmon), 269 nucleotides long. RefSeq lists it as uncharacterized. The transcript is spliced from 3 exons. NCBI's taxonomy places the organism in Eukaryota, Metazoa, Chordata, Actinopteri, Salmoniformes, Salmonidae. The record is from RefSeq and is a predicted model, not a curated record.
GAGUAGAGAGACGUUAGGCUACACUCGUUUCCAAGGUGAGUAGAGAGACGUUAGGCUACACUCGUUUCCAAGGUGAGUAGAGAGACGUUAGGCUACACUCGUUUCCAAGGUGAGUAGAGAGACGUUAGGCUACACUCGUUUCCAAGGUGAGUAGAGAGACGUUAGGCUACACUCGUUUCCAAGGUGAGUAGAGAGACGUUAGGCUACACUCGUUUCCAAGGUGAGUAGAGAGACGUUAAGCUACACUCGUUUCCAAGGUGAGUGGAGAG